GUAGCAAUACCGGGUGGCGACCGGCGCACGGGUGAGUAACGCGUAUGCAACUUACCUAUCAGAGGGGGAUAACCCGGCGAAAGUCGGACUAAUACCGCAUGAAGCAGGGGCCCCGCAUGGGGAUAUUUGCUAAAGAUUCAUCGCUGAUAGAUAGGCAUGCGUUCCAUUAGGCAGUUGGCGGGGUAACGGCCCACCAAACCGACGAUGGAUAGGGGUUCUGAGAGGAAGGUCCCCCACAUUGGUACUGAGACACGGACCAAACUCCUACGGGGGCAGCAGUGAGGAAUAUUGGUCAAUGGCCGAGAGGCUGAACCAGCCAAGUCGCGUGAGGGAUGAAGGUUCUAUGGAUCGUAAACCUCUUUUAUAAGGGAAUAAAGUGCGGGACGUGUCCCGUUUUGUAUGUACCUUAUGAAUAAGGAUCGGCUAACUCCGUGCCAGCAGCCGCGGUAAUACGGAGGAUCCGAGCGUUAUCCGGAUUUAUUGGGUUUAAAGGGUGCGUAGGCGGCCUUUUAAGUCAGCGGUGAAAGUCUGUGGCUCAACCAUAGAAUUGCCGUUGAAACUGGGAGGCUUGAGUAUGUUUGAGGCAGGCGGAAUGCGUGGUGUAGCGGUGAAAUGCAUAGAUAUCACGCAGAACCCCGAUUGCGAAGGCAGCCUGCCAAGCCAUUACUGACGCUGAUGCACGAAAGCGUGGGGAUCAAACAGG
This 703-nucleotide ribosomal RNA is filed under the name uncultured Bacteroidales bacterium. RNAcentral's name for it is "bacterial SSU rRNA". It matches the Rfam family "Bacterial small subunit ribosomal RNA", at positions 76 to 776 of the family's 1533-position model. The record is from RNAcentral. Lineage: Bacteria; Pseudomonadati; Bacteroidota; Bacteroidia; Bacteroidales.